UAAAAGAAAAAAAAAAAAAAAAAUUAAAAAGAAAAAAAAAAAAGGAUAAAAGAGAGGAAUUUGGUUGAGCAAGGCAACUUUCAUUUCUUUUGACAAUAAUAGGGCUAAGAAGGGUGACCAAUUCGCGCACCACUUACAAUAUGAUGAAAAUCAAGAGUGGGCUGAAAAGUAAGCGAGAAGGCCCACCAAUGGUGCAUUGAUGUAAGUUGUGGGUUCUGAUUCUUGAAAAAAUGGCCUGGAAUCUGGAAAAGCAUCUGAGACAUUUGGCCCACCUACUACCGCUCCUACGUGCACAUUUGGAUUUGGAUUUGGACUUAAGAAAUAGCGAGACCCUGCUUUACACCCUAUAUGGGCCGGGUGGGCCUGCACUGAUGGUAAGGAGCUGCCCCUGUGGUGUAUCCUCUGUGGGUAGCGUUCUCCAUAUCCAACCAUGUACGACAUCCUCAUUGGAUUAUCUCCAAGAAUGUAGUCCACCUGGUAGGACCCAUAAAUCAAUAUUAUUUCCAAAAUACCCCCCUGUCCUCUGCUCACGUGAUUAGCAGUCUUUUCCUUUUCAUAUUAUUUAUAAUGAAUAAUUAUUGUUACCUGACGUUGAGCUAAUUGCUUGAGAAGUGCAGGGGAGGCUGUGGUCUCACCACAUGGCACGACCUUAUUGGCGUGGCUUAGAUAAUUGGAAUAAGCUAGCAGCAAGAAAGACAGUGACGUUACAUGCUGCAUGUUACUCCCUCCAGCCUUGAAGAUCAGCCCACCUUUUCCAACCAACAAAAAACAAGCUUAUCAUUCUAAUCGACGUUAAUUAAUUGAAAAAAAAAAAAAUAAUGAUCGCAAACCUGGUUGUUUUAGCCGCAUAAUUGCAUUUUAAAAAUAUUCUAAAACCCAGUCAAAACUAAUCCAAAUAUGAAUAGCCCAAAAAUCCCCCUCUCUCUCUCUCUCUUUAUUCAAUUUUUUUUUUUAAAAAAAGCACAAUAAUUCCCCGACUGUUGCAUAGUUGACAAACUUAGGUAGUCACGUGCUUCUUACAAUAAUGAAAUGCUUUUUCUCUGGAAAGCAAACGGCUCAUUUGCAUAUAUGUGUUGAGAUUUAGCUGUCAAAAUGAUUAGGAAUUUAAAUUAUAAUGUGUGCACAUAUAAAAUAGGGAAAGGGCAAAUACCUGGAGAAUAAUGAACUUGAGGAUGAGAAAUUCCAGGCAAUAAAGAACAAAUGAAGUCAUCUGCAUUUCGCUUGAAAGAUUCGAAAUAGUCUGCUUUUCCCAUCAACACUUCCUGUAAAUUAAGUGGAAAAAUACCAUAAACAAUUAAUGCAAGUGUUCACCACUUUGUCUUAUAUGGUUGAUUUCAAUGGACAUAUACUUCCAUCUCCUUUGCUUGCAGAAGAAUUCAUUCAUGCACUGUAGGGUUAUAUUAUAAAUUUGUUCAAGGUGACCAAUAUUUUGCGGGAACAACAAAUUCAGAAGGGAAAUGAAUUAAACUAAAAAGCUGGUAAUGGGGAAGUCAGGAUCACUUUCAAGAAAAGUAAAUAAAACAUAGAAAGGACACCGGUCAGGGCAUGGGAAUGGGAAGAACGGGAACCCAAGCCCCAGCCUUUGGGCACAUGCAGCUCAGUGAUAUAGGGACCCCACGCAAUGUCGUCAGAUCUAAAAUGAAGGAUGAAUAGACUUUAAGGGCACUCCCACGUUGUUACCUUUUUAGAUAAUUGGUUCUGAAUUGAAGGGACGGGACAACUCUCAAAUCUCAUCCUUGCCCUUCUAAAAUUCCCGGCUUUUUUGACUUUGUGUAAUCUACCUUUAAUUAUAGGGGAAUGUCCAGAUUGUAUCCAAAGAAAAUUUUGCCUUCACAUGAUAUCAUAAAAACCGAAUUUAUGCUAAUCAGGUGCAAUCAUCAAAAUUCUUUUUCUUUUUUGUCAUUAUCAUCUGGACUAUUUUAAUUUUCCAUUUGAUCUAAAUAGUAGGGUCAUAAGCAUCAAGUCUACACGCAUAACCAGGAUUCAAUUUUUUCAUAACCCCUUUUCCCCUUGAUGAAGGCUUUAUCUAGACCUUUAAACUAUUGCAUUUGAUCUAAACAGAUGGGUCCAGCAUUGUCUAUAUAGGACCCCACUACCACAAUGCCCCACCUUCAAUCAUGUGCUUCACUUAUUCCUCACCACGUGACACCCAUAAAUUUUCUACUUGAGGAUAAAAAAAACCAAUCAGUCCUACAUAGCAAACAAAUACCACGGGACGGGAGGAACAAUAGUGCUAGGACAAGACAAAAGGUUCUGGUAAGCAACAACACAUAUAAAGGAACAACAUAAAUUAUUCAUAAAUAAGAUCUUAAUUAUAUAACCAGCAUUAUAUGAAAUGUAAAUUAAGUAAUUAAGAUGUUAAUUAAGGUUUUUUUUACCUUGGAAAUGAGGACGUUAAUUCCAGCAUGCUUGUUAUCCCAGCCAAACUCAUUGAUGGUAUCUCCAGCAUGCAGUACCACCUCGUUUUUCACUAUAUACUCUCUGUAUUGGCGCCUGCGUGAAGCCUUGUGCAACCAUGCUGCUCCCCAAAGCAACUCGUCCUGGUAGCCGUUGACGUCGCAGUAAAAAGGGCACACCGCAGAAUGCAGGCUGCUGCUGUACGCACCCCGGUGUGUAUCAGCAAACUCGAACACCCUAACGGCUCGAUCGAGAAGCAAUCUUGAGUAUGCAGGUUCACGUGAUCUAAACACAAUGGACGCAGCGGCCAGUGCAGCUGCAGUUUCACCAGCCACGUCGGAACCAGGGUGGGAACCGUCGAUUUUAUAUACCGUUCGAAUCGUAUCCAUGUCCUCUGGCCUCUCCCAGCAGUUAUGAUCAGAAUAGGCGUCGCCCACCUGAACAAAAACGACGCCGGGCACUGUCGUUACCUUUAACAGAUAAUCAGUAGCCCAUUUUAAGGCCUUAACGGCGUUCUUCAGCUCAGGUCCCAUGUUCCUUCCGAAGUCGAUUAUGCCCCACGACAGUAGCGUCGUCGUAAAUGCCAUUGGGAACCCAAACUUUAUGUUGUCUCCUGCGUCGUAAUAUCCUCCCGUUAAAUCUUUCCCGACGGAGAAGCCAUCGUGCAAGGCAGAAUCGCGGCGCCAUUUGACGCGUUGAUCUGGAGGGAGCCUGCCGGAGCGCUGGCCUUCGAAGAAAAGAAUGCUCUUUCGAAGAGCAUCUUGGUAAUCAUGGCCACCGCAGGAAAUUGGAUUGACAAAGAGGAGUAACAGAAGAGAAACGGCGACGCCAAUCGCCGGAAAACUUCCCAACAAUGAGUGGGAUUUUGGCGCCAUUUUUGAUUCCUGUUGUGGGUGGAGCAAAGUAGGAAGGAACUCUGUCGUGGAUU
Molecule: unclassified non-coding RNA, 3325 nt
Filed under: Hevea brasiliensis (rubber tree)
Lineage: Eukaryota; Viridiplantae; Streptophyta; Magnoliopsida; Malpighiales; Euphorbiaceae
Source: RNAcentral